UGCCAGCAGCCGCGGUAAUACGAAGGGGGCUAGCGUUGUUCGGAAUUACUGGGCGUAAAGCGAACGUAGGCGGAUAGUUUAGUCAGAGGUGAAAGCCCAGGGCUCAACCUUGGAAUUGCCUUUGAUACUGGCUAUCUUGAGUACGGAAGAGGUAUGUGGAACUCCGAGUGUAGAGGUGAAAUUCGUAGAUAUUCGGAAGAACACCAGUGGCGAAGGCGACAUACUGGUCCGUUACUGACGCUGAGGCGCGAAAGCGUGGGGAGCAAACAGGAUUAGAAACCCCUGUAGUCC
This 291-nucleotide ribosomal RNA is filed under the name Salinicola sp. MH3R3-1. RNAcentral describes it as "partial 16S ribosomal RNA". It matches the Rfam family "Bacterial small subunit ribosomal RNA", at positions 506 to 796 of the family's 1533-position model. Lineage: Bacteria; Pseudomonadati; Pseudomonadota; Gammaproteobacteria; Oceanospirillales; Halomonadaceae. The record is from RNAcentral.